This 868-nucleotide ribosomal RNA is filed under the name Pyrenopolyporus laminosus. RNAcentral's name for it is "partial large subunit ribosomal RNA". It matches the Rfam family "Eukaryotic large subunit ribosomal RNA", at positions 54 to 946 of the family's 3401-position model. The record is from RNAcentral. Lineage: Eukaryota; Fungi; Ascomycota; Sordariomycetes; Xylariales; Hypoxylaceae.
AGGAAAAGAAACCAACAGGGAUUGCCCUAGUAACGGCGAGUGAAGCGGCAACAGCUCCAAAUUUGAAAUCUGGCCCUCGUGGUCCGAGUUGUAAUUUGUAGAGGAUGCUUUGGGUGCGGCGCCUUCCAAGUUCCCUAGAACGGGACGCCUUAGAGGGUGAGAGCCCCGUACGGUUGGACGCCUAGCCUAUGUAUAGCUCCUUCGACGAGUCGAGUAGUUUGGGAAUGCUGCUCUAAAUGGGAGGUAAAUUUCUUCUAAAGCUAAAUACCGGCCAGAGACCGAUAGCGCACAAGUAGAGUGAUCGAAAGAUGAAAAGUACUUUGAAAAGAGGGUUAAAUAGCACGUGAAAUUGUUGAAAGGGAAGCGUUUGCGACCAGACCUUUUCCAGGCGGAUCAUCCGGCGUUCUCGCCGGUGCACUUCGCCUGGUUUAGGCCAGCAUCGGUUUUCCCAGGGGGAUAAAGGCGGCGGGAACGUGGCUCUCUCGGGAGUGUUAUAGCCCGCCGCGUAAUACCCUUGGGGGGACCGAGGACCGCGCUUCGGCAAGGAUGCUGGCGUAAUGGUCGUCAACGACCCGUCUUGAAACACGGACCAAGGAGUCGAACAUUUGUGCGAGUGUUUGGGUGUCAAACCCUCACGCGUAAUGAAAGUGAACGGAGGUGAGAGCCCCUCGCGGGUGCAUCAUCGACCGAUCCUGAUGUCUUCGGAUGGAUUUGAGUAAGAGCAUAACUGUUCGGACCCGAAAGAUGGUGAACUAUGCGUGGAUAGGGUGAAGCCAGAGGAAACUCUGGUGGAGGCUCGCAGCGGUUCUGACGUGCAAAUCGAUCGUCAAAUCUGCGCAUGGGGGCGAAAGACUUAUCGAACCAUCUA